GCUAUUUUGGCAGAGAAAUGCAGUAAAUUUAGAAUUUAUUUAUGUAGAGUUAUUCUACAGGUAGUA
RNAcentral lists this transfer RNA (66 nucleotides) under Triatoma rubrofasciata (large kissing bug). Its description in RNAcentral is "tRNA-Leu". Lineage: Eukaryota; Metazoa; Arthropoda; Insecta; Hemiptera; Reduviidae. The record is from RNAcentral.